AUGAAGUCCGUCCUAGUCGACUACCUCUUCGGUGCUGGAAUCAAGCCCACCUCGAUUGCCAGCUAUAACCACCUAGGCAACAACGACGGCAUGAACCUCUCGGCGACGCAGGUAUUUUCCAAAGAGAUCUCCAAGAGCAGCAUGGUGGAUGACAUGGUCGUCAGCAACGGCAUCCUUUACAACCCCGGGGAGCAUCCCAACCACGUCAUUGUGAUAAAGUACAUGUCGUAUGUCGGGGAUAACAAGAGGGCCAUGGACGAGUACUCCCCCAAGAUCUUCAUGGCUGGCCGGAACACCACCGUGUUGCACAACACCGCCGCACCCAUCAUCCUUGACCUGGUGCUCCUAGCUGAGCUCAACACAAAGAUCCAGCUGAAAGCCCAAGGCCAGGAAAAGUUUCAUUCUUUUCACCCGAUGGCCACCAUCUUGAGCUACCUCAGUAAGGCCCAUCUUGGUCCCCCAAGGAUACCGGUGGUGAAUGCGCUGGCCAAGCAGAGAGCCAUGUUGGAGAAUAGGGCAUGUGUCGGGCUAGCUCCUGAGAACAACAUGAUGCUUGAGCAAAAGUGA
This 567-nucleotide ribosomal RNA is filed under the name Triticum aestivum (bread wheat). Its description in RNAcentral is "partial small subunit ribosomal RNA". Lineage: Eukaryota; Viridiplantae; Streptophyta; Magnoliopsida; Poales; Poaceae. The record is from RNAcentral.